AUUUAAAUAGUUUAUUUAAAAAUUUUGAUUUGUGGAAUCAAAGAUGUAUAAUAAUUACUUUAAAUU
Molecule: transfer RNA, 66 nt
Filed under: Nomada fabriciana
Lineage: Eukaryota; Metazoa; Arthropoda; Insecta; Hymenoptera; Apidae
Description: tRNA-His
Source: RNAcentral